UAGAAUAAGAGAAAGCACAACACAAACACAGAAUUUUUAUAGUGGUUCGGAGCAAUCUGCUCCUACAUCUGCUCCUCAAGCUUUUCUUGAGAAUUCUACUAUAAUAUUUCUUUGAUUACAGUGUGUUUGUUUUGCCAGACUCACAAAUAAAUCUAAUUAAUUUUAAUCCAGAUUAACUAAUCAAAAUUUUUACACUGUUAGUUUUUCAGGCUCACUAACAAUCUAGUUGAUUUUAACCUAGGAGUACCAACCACAACCUUUACAACAUCCAAUUACGGGCU
This 281-nucleotide long non-coding RNA is filed under the name Elaeis guineensis (African oil palm). Its description in RNAcentral is "long non-coding RNA (EGUI_LNC019545)". Lineage: Eukaryota; Viridiplantae; Streptophyta; Magnoliopsida; Arecales; Arecaceae. The record is from RNAcentral.